UUUACCCUGGGGUGUUCGUGAUUCAGGAUUGAAGUCCCUGAGCCGAUAAGCAAUACAAAAGGGUUAGUACUUGGUAGCUAUUGAGCAGGCUCGGCUUGUACCGAGAAGCCUACGGUUAUCAUUGCCAAUCCGCCUUGAACCAGCUGGUUCAAGGGUCCAAAUCCUAAACGGCACCUUGGGGUUCCC
Molecule: non-coding RNA, 186 nt
Filed under: Vibrio eleionomae
Lineage: Bacteria; Pseudomonadati; Pseudomonadota; Gammaproteobacteria; Vibrionales; Vibrionaceae
Also listed under: 1 other name
Description: 6S / SsrS RNA
Rfam family: 6S / SsrS RNA
About the family: E. coli 6S RNA was the first non coding RNA to be sequenced, but its function was unknown until recently. It consists of 184 nucleotides that fold into an extended hairpin structure with a large single-stranded internal bulge.
Source: Rfam by way of RNAcentral